AUUGAACGCUGGCGGAAUGCUUUACACAUGCAAGUCGAACGGCAGCACGGGGCAACCUGGUGGCGAGUGGCGAACGGGUGAGUAAUACAUCGGAACGUGCCCAAUCGUGGGGGAUAACGUAGCGAAAGUUACGCUAAUACCGCAUACGAUCUACGGAUGAAAGCGGGGGAUCGCAAGACCUCGCGCGAGUGGAGCGGCCGAUGUCAGAUUAGGUAGUUGGUGGGGUAAAGGCUCACCAAGCCAACGAUCUGUAGCUGGUCUGAGAGGACGACCAGCCACACUGGAACUGAGACACGGUCCAGACUCCUACGGGAGGCAGCAGUGGGGAAUUUUGGACAAUGGGGGAAACCCUGAUCCAGCCAUGCCGCGUGCAGGAUGAAGGCCUUCGGGUUGUAAACUGCUUUUGUACGGAACGAAAAGACUCUUUCUAAUACAGAGGGUCCAUGACGGUACCGUAAGAAUAAGCACCGGCUAACUACGUG
RNAcentral lists this ribosomal RNA (482 nucleotides) under uncultured bacterium. RNAcentral's name for it is "bacterial SSU rRNA". It matches the Rfam family "Bacterial small subunit ribosomal RNA", at positions 30 to 507 of the family's 1533-position model. The record is from RNAcentral.